GCGCCCGUGGUGUAAGGUGAACACCGCUGCCCGGAAAGCAGAAGAUGCGGGUUCGAGUCCCGCCUGGCGCA
Non-coding RNA from Heligmosomoides polygyrus, 71 nucleotides. The record is from Rfam. Lineage: Eukaryota; Metazoa; Nematoda; Chromadorea; Rhabditida; Heligmosomidae.